CGGAUGUAGCCAAGUGGAUCAAGGCAGUGGAUUAUGAAUCC
Molecule: transfer RNA, 41 nt
Filed under: Urtica magellanica
Lineage: Eukaryota; Viridiplantae; Streptophyta; Magnoliopsida; Rosales; Urticaceae
Description: partial tRNA-His
Source: RNAcentral